Molecule: transfer RNA, 77 nt
Filed under: Candidatus Heimdallarchaeota archaeon
Lineage: Archaea; Promethearchaeati; Candidatus Heimdallarchaeota
Description: tRNA-Met
Rfam family: tRNA
About the family: Transfer RNA (tRNA) molecules are approximately 80 nucleotides in length. Their secondary structure includes four short double-helical elements and three loops (D, anti-codon, and T loops). Further hydrogen bonds mediate the characteristic L-shaped molecular structure. tRNAs have two regions of fundamental functional importance: the anti-codon, which is responsible for specific mRNA codon recognition, and the 3' end, to which the tRNAs corresponding amino acid is attached (by aminoacyl-tRNA synthetases). tRNAs cope with the degeneracy of the genetic code in two manners: having more than one tRNA (with a specific anti-codon) for a particular amino acid; and 'wobble' base-pairing, i.e. permitting non-standard base-pairing at the 3rd anti-codon position.
Source: RNAcentral
GGGCCGUUAGCUCAGCUAGGUAGAGCAUCAGGCUCAUAACCUGAGUGUCAUGUGUUCAAAUCGCAUACGGCCCACCA